Rosa chinensis is the source of this 2570-nucleotide long non-coding RNA. RefSeq lists it as uncharacterized. The record is from RefSeq and is a predicted model, not a curated record. Lineage: Eukaryota; Viridiplantae; Streptophyta; Magnoliopsida; Rosales; Rosaceae. The transcript is spliced from 12 exons.
UUGCAAGCACUUGAGGAGGUUGAGGAGCUGAGAUGCAUGCUAGCUUGCAAAUAUUUUGUCCACUACUUGAUCAUAUAUCAAAAGCUCUUGAAGAUCAGGUGAAUUUUAAGUUAGAACUUGUGAUGGUGUGUUUAAGAAUCCAUUUGUGCAGGUUGUUAACAAAGAUGCUUGACUCUCAAAUCUUGAACUAUCAACCCCCAGAAGAAUAGGUACAAAUCAAUGCAACAGUUUAUCUACUGAGAUUCAGAGAUUGAAGGACCAGAAGGUGUCAUAUUAUUUGCUUUGGAUGAAUUUUCAGGUCUCAAUGUCUUUUGAUCUAGACUCCACUUUGACUUGUGUGGUACUAAAAUUUACUAUAUACUAAUUCUCAGUUAACUGUUCAUCGGCUUAGUAACAGUGCCAGCUCGAGCCGAGCCGGUAUCGUGAAAUGACCGUUUUGCCCUCCAUUCUUUGCUUAAUUACGGUGUUCUGUUUGACCUGGAUAUAAAAGGUGUUGAGGGUGAUAAACGCGGUUUGUUUCCUCUCUCUUUCUCUCUUCGUUCUUAGCUCGGCUCUGCGCAUCUGAAGGGGCUUGAUCAGGUUUCGGUGUCUCUGGGUUUUGAAUAAUCGUGCUAGACCAAUCGUUGGUGAUCUGCUACAAGUAUAAUCUAAAGAACCAACGCCUACUUUCGGGAAGCAUCGGUGAAGACCGACCUCCGCUGCUGCGCUGUUGCAACCUCUCUGACGUCGACAUGAAUCCAAACAGAUGCGAGAACAAAAUGGAUGUCUUCAUUCAUGAAAUGGAACCUUACAAAUCAGAAUACAAGAUCAGAGUUCGUAUAUCAAGAGUGUGGAGAGCAAAGCAAUAUAAUACUGACAAGAAUGAUGGUCUCCACUCUGUCUUGAUUGAUGAAAAGGGUGACGCUAUUCAAUUAUUCAUGCAAUUAUCAGUGAAUCUGACUACCCUUUAGUUCACAAAAAAAAAUACAACAAGGCAAGGUUUAUGACAUUCAGAAUUUCUUUACACGAAAAAACCAGGAAAACUACAAGAUUCUUGAUCAUCGGAGUCAAGUCCGUUUCAAUGCACUGACUGUCUUUGAAGCAGUUGAAGGAAACUGCCCAGAAAUUCCAGAGCAUCGAUUCUAUUUAGUAGAAUUUGAUCAACUCGAAGCACGCAUGAAUGAUCAUACAAUUCUAACAGGAUGUGUAUGGCUGUUUGAAGUCGAUUGUACCACCACAUGAGACAACUGUGAACUGUCAAGGAUAGAGAGUCAAAAUGUGAAAGACAAGAGUCAAAAUGUGAAAUCCAUUUGCAGAAUUUAAGAAGAGAGGACUUGAGAAUUACACUCUGGGGCAACACUGCUAGACAAGUCGACAUGGAAACAAUUAGAAAAGCUUCUCCACCAGUGCUGAUGGCAUUAACCAGUUUAAAAAUCAAAGAGUACUUGAACAAACCUGCCCCAUCAAAUACAAGCAACACCUGUAUUUUCAUCAAUCCAAAGAUCCCAGAAACAAACAAGUACAGGCUUCAGUUCUCAAAACUGGUUGAUAGAGUGCAAAUACUUCCAACACCAUUCAAACAGCCAACAUCAGAAGAAAUCCAGGAAACCAAUAUGAAAACAGUGACUCGAUUGAACAUAUUGGAUCCAUUGUCAUACAAGGAACAAAUGGUGUAUUGCAAUGCUUCAAUUUCCAGAUUUGCAACACACAACGGUUGGUGGUAUAAAGCCUUGCUGUUAUCGAGAAUUAAGAGAACAAGAACAUGACAAUCAACUUAGCUGCUCACAUCAUGGGAAGCAAGAAAUUCUUGUUUCAGAGUCUACAUGACUAUCACAGAUGGUCAAAAUGAGGCAACGGUUAUCAUAAUGGGAAAACAAGCAGAGAAACUGUUUGGAAGUAAUUGCAAAGAUUUGGUCAGCAAAAGAUCCUACCCAACAGAAGCAACAUUACCAGAGGAGAUGGAGAAAACAAGAGGCCAAAAGUUCUUUUUCAGCUCAAGAUAACGGAAGAUAGUGAGCUAAUAAUCAAAGCAGUCUUCCCACAUAUGGAAUCCUCUGUACCACCUUGGAAUCCUCUGUACCACCUUUUGAAAACGACCCAGCAACUAUGACUCCAGAUCCUGUUCCUUUUCAAAGAAUCAGCAACUCUCUGACAAGUAAAAGAGGAUUAUUCAGAUCUAAACCAGACAAGAAAUCUAGAAGUGAGAGAGAAGCAGAGGAAGAUGAAACCACAUCGUCAUCAGCUGAAAACAAAAAGACUGUUUAAUGCAGGAUAACUGUGGUGUACAGUGUUUUGAUGAAGUAAUCGAUUUUGUGUAGCUGCAAUCACAAGUACAGUUGGAACCACCACUGUUUUUGAACAAGCUCCACAAUCUCACAAGAUUGCAGCAACAAUCUUUUUGUAAAUCUGCAACUAUAAUAGCUAAUCUGACUAUGCAGCUAGCUUUUUUGUAAAGCUGCAGCUGAAAUGCCUAACGUUAUUGUGCAUCAAGCAAUUUUUGGAUGACUUCGAAGGAAAUCAAUUGUGUAACAAAUGUAGAAUGUACAUGUACUCUUUUAUCAAAUGAAUAUAAUGUAACAAUUCUCCCUCUA